AGAGUUUGAUCAUGGCUCAGGACGAACGCUGGCGGUGUGCUUAACACAUGCAAGUCGAGCGGGAAGCAAGGGGCUUGCCCCUUAUGGAGAGCGGCGAACGGGUGAGGAACACGUGAGGAACCUGCCCCAGACACUGGGAUAACUCAGGGAAACCUGAGCUAAUACCGGAUACUUUCGCGGAACCACAUGGUUCUGCGAAGAAAGCUCCGGCGGUCUGGGAUGGCCUCGCGGCCUAUCAGCUUGUUGGUGGGGUAACGGCCUACCAAGGCGACGACGGGUAGCUGGUCUGAGAGGACGAUCAGCCACACUGGGACUGAGACACGGCCCAGACUCCUACGGGAGGCAGCUGUGGGGAAUAUUGCGCAAUGGGCGAAAGCCUGACGCAGCGACACCGCGUGCGGGAUGAAGGCCUUCGGGUUGUAAACCGCUUUCGGCAGGGAAGAAGCGAAAGUGACGGUACCUGCAGAAGAAGCUCCGGCUAACUACGUGCCAGCAGCCGCGGUAAGACGUAGGGAGCGAGCGUUGUCCGGAUUCAUUGGGCGUAAAGCGCGCGUAGGCGGCUUUGCAAGUCGGGUGUGAAAACCAGAGGCUCAACCUCUGGCCUGCAUUCGAAACUGCAUCGCUUGAGGUAGGUAGGGGAGAUCGGAAUUCCUGGUGUAGCGGUGGAAUGCGCAGAUAUCNNAGGAACACCGGUGGCGAAGGNGGAUCUCUGGGCCUUACCUGACGCUGAGGUGCGAAAGCUAGGGGAGCGAACAGGAUUAGAUACCCUGNAGUCCUAGCCGUAAACGUUGGACACUAGGUGUGGGCGGCUAUCAACCCCGUCCGUGCCGAANCUAANGCAUUANNGNCCCGCUGGGG
Molecule: ribosomal RNA, 858 nt
Filed under: uncultured bacterium
Lineage: Bacteria
Description: bacterial SSU rRNA
Rfam family: Bacterial small subunit ribosomal RNA
Source: RNAcentral